Molecule: RNA transcript, 4159 nt
Organism: Populus euphratica (Euphrates poplar)
Lineage: Eukaryota; Viridiplantae; Streptophyta; Magnoliopsida; Malpighiales; Salicaceae
Gene name: Pentatricopeptide repeat (PPR) superfamily protein
Exons: 2
Source: RefSeq, a predicted model, not a curated record
UAAAAAUACCCAUUAACUCAAAAUCAAAAUUCACGCACAGACAAACGAACCUCUCUUGCAUUUCCCAAGCACAGAAACAGAACCAUAAAAUUGCUUUCCAUUUCCCUCCUUCCCAACCUUUUUUCUUUAGAGGCCAUUUGCAGGUUUCUCUAAAAACCUGCUAAACAUACUUUUGUAUUCCAAGAACCUACGGUAUUUUCCAUCACUUCUUACCCGCACACCACCUGUUUGAUAAAACGCUAAAAGGAAAGUGAAAAGUGAACUAGCAGCGAUGGGCGUGAAAACAUUGCUUAAAUGGUCAAAACAAAUCACCCCAUCUAAAGUUGAGCAACUACUUAGAGCAGAAAGGGACUUACGCAAAGCUAAAAUCAUAUUUGAUUCCGCAAGCGCGGAGUACAGCAAUGGUUUUAGGCAUGAUCACACCACGUUUGGCGUCAUGAUCUCUAAAUUAGUAUCCGCGAAUGAGUUUAGACCCGCAGAGGAAAUGCUUAUUAGAAUGAAGGAAGAGAAGUGCAGAAUUACUGAGGAGAUAUUCCUUUCAAUUUGCAGAGGCUAUGGCCGGGUUCAUAUGCCAUUAGAUGCCAUCAGGGUUUUUCAUAAAAUGAAUGACUUUGGGUGCAAACCCACUGACAAGUCAUACAUCAGUGUGUUUGCUAUUCUUGUUGAAGAGAAUCAGUUAAAGGUUGCGAUGAGUUUUUAUAAGUAUAUGAGGGAAAUGGGUGUUCGGCCGAGUGUUGUUUCGCUUAAUGUUUUGAUUAAAGCCCUUUGUAAGAAUAGUGGAACGAUUGAUGCUGCUUUUGAGAUAUUUCGUGAGAUGCCAAAACGCGGGUGUGAUCCGGAUUCGUAUACGUAUGGUACACUAAUUAAUGGUUUGUGUAAAUUGGGUAAGACUUUUGAAGCCAAGGAGUUGUUUAAAGAGAUGGAGACAAAGGGAUGUUCACCGUCCGUUGUCACGUACUCUUGUUUGAUUCAUGGCUUGUGCCAGGCUGGUAGCGUGGAUGAAGCUAUGGGAUUGUUUGAUGAGAUGAAGAUGAAAGCCAUUGAGCCAAAUGUGUUUACCUAUAGUUCUUUAAUGGAUGGUCUUUGCAAGGAUGGGGGUUCUUUGGAAGCCAUGGAGCUACUAGAGAUGAUGAUCAAGAAGCGGCACAAGCCUAAUAUGGUAACAUAUAGCACGUUAAUUAAUGGGCUCUGUAAAGAAGGAAAACUUGCUGAAGCUGUGGAGAUUCUUGACAUGAUGAAGCUUCAGGGAUUGAAACCAGAUGCAGGGCUCUAUGGAAAAAUCAUAAAUGGGUUCUGCAAUAUUCGCAAGUUCCAGGAGGCUGCAACCUACCUUGAUGAGAUGGUUCUAGGGCAGAUCUCACCAAACCGAGUAACAUGGAGCCUACAUGUUAAGCUUAAUAAUAUGGUAGUCCAAGGCCUUUGUACGAAUGGCAACCUGGAUAGAGCCUUUCAGUUGUACUUAGGUAUGCGUACUAGGGGCAUCUCAAUUGAUGCUGUGACCUUUGAUUCUCUUGUGAAAUGUUUCUGCAAGAAAGGGGACUUGCAUAAAGCUGCUCGCAUUUUUGAUGAGAUGGUGCUCGAUGGAUGUGUUCCUGACCAUGGAAUAUGGAGUGCUGUGGUUGGUGGAUUUUGGGAUAGAAGAAAAGUCCGGGAAGCUUUUGAGUCGAUAGUGGUUGAACUAAUGAAUGAAUUUGUUGAGCAUGUAUAGAAAAUCAUGACGAAGAUUAAUGAAUUAGUAAGCACACUUGGCCCUAGUCUUCUUGUUCCAGUCACAGAAAACUCUCAUGUUGUUGUUCCUUCCUUCAAAAAUAAAGUUUCCAUAUUUUCUCAGCUGGUUUAAACCAUAGAUUCCCUCACUCUAUACAUGGUGAUGCCAUUAACAUAUGAAAUACCAACUGUUAGUGGCAUCAUUCCCAACUGCAAGGUUUAUCGCACUUCAACUUGUUUUAUCCUCAAUCAUUAUGCUUAUUUGCUAGUUUUUCGUAUUUACAGGGCAUUGGGCAUAUUUUCUUUCUCUCUAAUUGCUUUUCUAUGUCCCGACAUCUAUAGACACGCAAGCCUUUCUUGCAUUGUAUAACUCUUUUAGCAGAUAAGAAGAUUAAUAGUGAUGACAGAUGCAUAGAUGUAAUUUUAAGACAAGAGCAAGCUUGAAAGGGACCUUCCACAUGAUUUCUACUCUGUGCUGUAGAGUUAUGAGCACUAUUUUGUUACACAGCCGUAAAAAUCCUUGCUACGUGGUGUCUGGUAAAAUUUCAAGAACAACAGGUUCAUGGAUGGGUAUACACCAUGAUUUGUCCAAGUUAACUUAGAAAAUGGAUAGCGUAAUCGGUUUCUGAGCUUUAACUUUUUACUUCUUGUUUUAUAUUAUAACAAAAGCUCACCACAACUCUUUUUUUCAUGAGCACAUGUCUUGUAAUUCGUUGUAAUGUCAAUGCUUGUUUGUUCUUUUCAAAGACCCCAAAUAAUUUUCUUUCUCAUUGGACAUGCAUUAUCUCAUGGUUGAUCACUUUCUUCUUGUCAGAUGUACAUAUCCAUUGUUUAUAUUCACUGCAUUUUGUAAUUAUGAUUGAGCAACAAACUUAAUUCUGUAUCUGUUGUUGAACGAAUAGGAUGCUUUGUAAUCCGCCCAUGUUCUUACCCAUCCCCUUCCUCCUGCAAUCCGGUAUGUUUCUAAUACUCAACAUACUCUACGUGAAUGAAAUUAUGCGGCUGACUUUUUAGCUUAAGCUUGGUGCUUUGCAAAAGCUUCCUUGUGUGGAUUGGGAAUCUCAUCCAUGGAACGACAUGAUAAUUCCUAAUUCAAAGUGAAUAAAGUAGAUAAAUGAUGAAGACAUUCAAAUUGCCAAUUGGUGCCACUUUGUGAAGCUGGAGGAGGUUAAUACCCUGAACAGACAUAAUGUGCUAGUUAGCUGAGUGGGAAAAGCCAAUUCCACGAUGCUUAGAGGGAAAUGCUACAAACAACACGCUGCAAACAACAACUCCAACAUGUCGCAUGGUGCAUCUGCUGCAAAUGAAAGCACUGACAUAAAGGCAUGCAAAAAUUCAACAAACUUUAGGUGAUAUUUUUUGCUGAAAAUUCAGAUGGAAUGUUUUCUGAUGCAUCAAUAAUCCACAAACUGUGAAAUGCGGCAAACCCAUGACAGCCGUUUCCCUAAAGCUAUCAGUGAAGCAUGAUAGAAAACAUGACAAUCAGCAGAUGGCUAGAAGUGUGGCAAUCAAGUAUUGGCCUUCUGGGCUGCAGUUACCUUGCUUUGUGAUCAAGGGCGACAGAAGCUGAAAAGCAAGAACUGUUCCUGUCGGUAAAUAAAUGGCAAUGGCCAGUGCUUUGAAAUGUCUUGGUAAGAGCUUUAUGUUUCUAGGUCUUUUGCUCUGUUUCAACAGCGGAUGUACCUCCAAUUAGGGGGAGUUUUUGCUCAUUAUUAUUCUGGGAGUUCUCAGCCACUCCUCUAAUCUCCAUGACCUGGCACCUGUUGAUUCUGGCUACACUGUUCUUCAUUUCAGCUUCUGGCUCACAUUACAAGUCUAUUUUGAGGAACUUCAUCAAUUAUAUGCAGAGGAAGAAGUUGAACUUCAAUGCAGGUGAAACAAGGAAAAGUUGAUUUUAAUGCCUUGUAAAAACAGAAACUGAAAAUGGGAAAAGCUAUUCUAACCGAAAUUCUUGAAGGAGACUUUCUAUUAACAAUUAUUGGAGAAAGUUUUUUGUCCAUUAUGAGUUUAAUCUUUAAAAGGUGUCCUCAUAUGCACACAGACAUGCAGAGAGAGAAAGUGGGUUCCCCAUUUUUUAUGAGGUGCUGGUUGACGGAUGUGUUCCUGACGAGGCCACAAAGGGUGCUGUAGUUGGUGGAUUUGGCCUUGGGAUAGAAGAAAGGCACUGGAAGCUUUCGAGCUGGUAGUGGUUGAGAUGAUGAUUCAAACUAUCUUGACAGUUAGGUAGAUUUGGUUUAUAAUCUUGCUGCAUGGAACAAAAGGAUCCACAUAGCCGAUCUGACUAGUUUGAAACUAAGACUUUGGUGUAGUUGUUCUUGAGGUUGGGCUAAUCAGAAAAUCGGUUGAGCAUCUCCUUGUAAAUCUGGAUGAGGAUUUAACUAGUCGGUGCUAGUUUUCUUUUUCUAACCAUGUAAAACUUUCUCAUGUUGUAAAUCCUUUCUUUGCUAGCACA